AAAGAGUUAGUUUAUGCAAAAUAUUAGGUUUGAAACUUAGGGAAAAUUUAUAGUUAUUCUUUG
This 63-nucleotide transfer RNA is filed under the name Herdmania momus (red throated ascidian). RNAcentral describes it as "transfer RNA-Ser (UGA)". The record is from RNAcentral. Lineage: Eukaryota; Metazoa; Chordata; Ascidiacea; Stolidobranchia; Pyuridae.